Molecule: ribosomal RNA, 383 nt
Filed under: uncultured bacterium
Lineage: Bacteria
Description: bacterial SSU rRNA
Rfam family: Bacterial small subunit ribosomal RNA
Source: RNAcentral
AUUGAACGCUGGCGGCAUGCUUUACACAUGCAAGUCGAACGGCAGCACGGGUGCUUGCACCUGGUGGCGAGUGGCGGACGGGGUGAGUAAUACAUCGGAACGUAUCCUAAAGUGGGGGAUAACGCAUCGAAAGAUGUGCUAAUACCGCAUACACUCUGAGGAGGAAAGUAGGGGGAUCGAAAGACCUUAUGCUUUUGGAGCGGCCGAUGUCUGAUUAGCUAGUUGGUAAGGUAAUGGCUUACCAAGGCAACGAUCAGUAGUUGGUCUGAGAGGACGACCAGCCACACUGGGACUGAGACACGGGCCCCAGACUCCUACGGGAGGCAGCAGUGGGGAAUUUUGGACAAUGGGCGCAAGCCUGAUCCAGCAAUGCCGCGUGAGUG